Molecule: small nucleolar RNA, 136 nt
Organism: Zerene cesonia (dogface butterfly)
Lineage: Eukaryota; Metazoa; Arthropoda; Insecta; Lepidoptera; Pieridae
Product: small nucleolar RNA psi28S-1192
Exons: 1
Source: RefSeq, a predicted model, not a curated record
AUUAUGUCUGUCCUAAUACCAGGAAAUAAAAAAAUGGAUUUUCUGGCUUCGCUUUCAGACUAAAUUAAUUCUUCAAUUCUAUCCUAGUGUGAUUUGUUGUGAAUCAAUUUUGCACUGGCAAUUUGAAGAUACAAUA